GAUGAACGCUAGCUACAGGCUUAACACAUGCAAGUCGAGGGGUAACGAGAGGAAAGCUUGCUUUCCUUGUCGACGACCGGCGCACGGGUGAGUAACGCGUAUCCAACCUGCCCCCAACUAGGGAAUAACCUUGCGAAAGUAAGACUAAUACCCUAUAAUUUCCUCAGAUGACAUCUGACGAGGAAUAAAGAUUUAUCGUUUGUGGAUGGGGAUGCGUCUGCUUAGCUUGUUGGCGGGGUAACGGCCCACCAAGGCAACGAUCAGUAGGGGUUCUGAGAGGAAGGUCCCCCACAUUGGAACUGAGACACGGUCCAAACUCCUACGGGAGGCAGCAGUGAGGAAUAUUGGUCAAUGGGCGGAAGCCUGAACCAGCCAAGUAGCGUGCAGGAUGACGGCCCUAUGGGUUGUAAACUGCUUUUAUACAGGAAUAAAGUUAGCCACGUGUGGUUAUUUGUAGGUACUGUAUGAAUAAGGACCGGCUAAUUCCGUGCCAGCCGCCGCCGUAA
This 506-nucleotide ribosomal RNA is filed under the name uncultured bacterium. Its description in RNAcentral is "partial 16S ribosomal RNA". It matches the Rfam family "Bacterial small subunit ribosomal RNA", at positions 28 to 523 of the family's 1533-position model. The record is from RNAcentral.